GACGGAGGGGGCUAGCGUUGUUCGGAAUGACUGGGUGAAAAGGGCGCGUAGGCGGCAUUUUAAGUGAGGCGUGAAAGCCCUGGGCUUAACCAAGGAGGUGCGUUUCAUACUGGAAUGCUAGAGUGCGAGAGAGGGAAGUGGAAUUCCGAGUGUAGAGGUGAAAUUCGUAGAUAUUAGGAAGAACACCAGAAGCGAAGGCGGCUUUCUGGCUCGCAACUGACGCUGAGGCGCGAAAGCGUGGGGAGGAAACAGG
This 253-nucleotide ribosomal RNA is filed under the name uncultured bacterium. Its description in RNAcentral is "partial 16S ribosomal RNA". It matches the Rfam family "Bacterial small subunit ribosomal RNA", at positions 524 to 776 of the family's 1533-position model. The record is from RNAcentral.